GAUGAACGCUGGCGGCAUGCCUAAUACAUGCAAGUCGAACGAGAGGAAGGAAAGCUUGCUUUUCUGAAUCUAGUGGCGAACGGGUGAGUAACACGUAGGUAACCUGCCCAUGUGCCCGGGAUAACUUCUGGAAACGGAUGCUAAAACCGGAUAGGUAGCAGACAAGCAUUUGACUGCUAUUAAAGUGGCUAAGGCCAUGAACAUGGAUGGACCUGCGGUGCAUUAGCUAGUUGGGGAGGUAACGGCCCACCAAGGCGACGAUACAUAGCCGGCCGUGGAGGGCGGACGGCCACAUUGGGACUGAGACACGGCCCAAACUCCUACGGGAGGCAGCAGUAGGGAAUUUUCGUCAAUGGGGGGAACCCUGAACGAGCAAUGCCGCGUGAGUGAGGAAGGUCUUCGGAUCGUAAAGCUCUGUUGUAAGAGAAAAACGACAUUCAUAGGGAAUGAUGAGUGAGUGAUGGUAUCUUACCAGAAAGUCACGGCUAACUACGUGCCAGCAGCCGCCGUAA
RNAcentral lists this ribosomal RNA (512 nucleotides) under uncultured bacterium. RNAcentral describes it as "partial 16S ribosomal RNA". It matches the Rfam family "Bacterial small subunit ribosomal RNA", at positions 28 to 523 of the family's 1533-position model. The record is from RNAcentral.